Long non-coding RNA from Mytilus californianus (California mussel), 825 nucleotides. RefSeq lists it as uncharacterized. The transcript is spliced from 2 exons. The record is from RefSeq and is a predicted model, not a curated record. Lineage: Eukaryota; Metazoa; Mollusca; Bivalvia; Mytilida; Mytilidae.
GUAACACUGAGCAAUGAACCUUGAAAAUGAGGUCAAGGUCAAAUAAAACCUGCGUGACUGACAUAUAGAUCAUAAAUUAUUUCCAUACACCAAAUAUAGUUGAACUAUUGCAUAUAGUAUUAGAAAAAAAGACCAAAAACUCAAAAACUGAACUUUGACCACUGAACCAUGAAAGUGAGGUCAAGGUCAGAUGACACCUGCCAGCUAGACAUGUACACCUUACAAUCAUUCCAUACACCAAAUAUAGUAGACCUAUUGCAUACAGUAUAAGAAAAACAGACCAAAACACAAAAAUUUAACUUUGACCACUGAACCAUGAAAAGGAGGUCAAGGUCAGAUGACACCUGCCAGUUGGACAUGUACACCUUACAGUCCUUCCAUACACCGAAUAUACUAGACCUAUUGCUUAUAGUAUCUGAGAUAUGGACUUGACCACCAAAACUUAACCUUGUUCACUGAUCCAUGAAAUGAGGUCGAGGUCAAGAGAAAACUGUCUGACGGGCAUGAGGACCUUGCAAGGUACGCACAUACCAAAUAUAGUUAUCCUAUUACUUAUAAUAAGAGAGAAUUUAACAUUACAAAAAAUCUUAACUUUUUUUUCAAGUAGUCACUGAACCAUGAAAAUGAGAUCAAGGACAUUGGACAUGUGACUGACGGAAACUUCGUAACAUGAGGCAUCCAUAUACAAAGUAUGAAGCAUCCAGAUCUUCCACCCUCUAAAAUAUAAAGCUUUUAAGAAGUUAGCUAACGCCGCCGCCGCCGGAUCACUAUCCCUAUGUCGAGCUUUCUGCGACAAAAGUCGCAGGCUCGACAAAAACUAUAUAA